CGUAGAGUUUCAAAUCUACGCUUUUGCUAUUUUGGAGAUUCCUAGACUUUUGUGUGGCUCGCCUCAACUUGGAAGAUUAGAGUUUCUAGAAGAUCAAAUGUGAACAUCUGGUAGUUGAGGUUUUGCUUAGGGUCACUCUAGGAUGUAGUUUUAUCCUUUGUUUUAUGAAGUAGGUAGAUUGUAAAUAUUUGCUUUGUGAAGUUGGAUGUAUUGAUGGAUUCACGAAUAGUAUGUUUUAUUUUGAGAGUAGUGGUGCAUGGAAACUAUCUUAGUAGCAUGAUGAUAUUUUUGUCUUUGAAUGGAUCAUCUCAUAUAUGUUGGCCAAUCGAAGGGUCUUAUGCACUAUUGGUGAUGUGAUAUAAGAAUUAUACAGGUGAUUAUUGUGUACA
Non-coding RNA from Camellia sinensis, 389 nucleotides. The record is from RefSeq and is a predicted model, not a curated record. Lineage: Eukaryota; Viridiplantae; Streptophyta; Magnoliopsida; Ericales; Theaceae.